RNAcentral lists this transfer RNA (86 nucleotides) under Myxococcota bacterium. RNAcentral describes it as "tRNA-Leu". It matches the Rfam family "tRNA". Rfam says of the family: Transfer RNA (tRNA) molecules are approximately 80 nucleotides in length. Their secondary structure includes four short double-helical elements and three loops (D, anti-codon, and T loops). Further hydrogen bonds mediate the characteristic L-shaped molecular structure. tRNAs have two regions of fundamental functional importance: the anti-codon, which is responsible for specific mRNA codon recognition, and the 3' end, to which the tRNAs corresponding amino acid is attached (by aminoacyl-tRNA synthetases). tRNAs cope with the degeneracy of the genetic code in two manners: having more than one tRNA (with a specific anti-codon) for a particular amino acid; and 'wobble' base-pairing, i.e. permitting non-standard base-pairing at the 3rd anti-codon position. Lineage: Bacteria; Pseudomonadati; Myxococcota. The record is from RNAcentral.
GCGAGGAUGGCGGAACUGGUAGACGCGCUAGGUUGAGGGCCUAGUGGCCUCAGGCCGUAGGGGUUCGAUUCCCCUUCCUCGCACCA